This 1364-nucleotide ribosomal RNA is filed under the name uncultured beta proteobacterium. RNAcentral's name for it is "16S ribosomal RNA". It matches the Rfam family "Bacterial small subunit ribosomal RNA", at positions 30 to 1392 of the family's 1533-position model. Lineage: Bacteria; Pseudomonadati; Pseudomonadota; Betaproteobacteria. The record is from RNAcentral.
UGAACGCUGGCGGCAUGCCUUACACAUGCAAGUCGAACGGCAGCACGGGUGCUUGCACCUGGUGGCGAGUGGCGAACGGGUGAGUAAUACAUCGGAACAUGUCCUGUAGUGGGGGAUAGCCCGGCGAAAGCCGGAUUAAUACCGCAUACGAUCUACGGAUGAAAGCGGGGGACCUUCGGGCCUCGCGCUAUAGGGUUGGCCGAUGGCUGAUUAGCUAGUUGGUGGGGUAAAGGCCUACCAAGGCGACGAUCAGUAGCUGGUCUGAGAGGACGACCAGCCACACUGGGACUGAGACACGGCCCAGACUCCUACGGGAGGCAGCAGUGGGGAAUUUUGGACAAUGGGCGAAAGCCUGAUCCAGCAAUGCCGCGUGUGUGAAGAAGGCCUUCGGGUUGUAAAGCACUUUUGUCCGGAAAGAAAUCCUUGGCUCUAAUACAGUCGGGGGAUGACGGUACCGGAAGAAUAAGCACCGGCUAACUACGUGCCAGCAGCCGCGGUAAUACGUAGGGUGCGAGCGUUAAUCGGAAUUACUGGGCGUAAAGCGUGCGCAGGCGGUUUGCUAAGACCGAUGUGAAAUCCCCGGGCUCAACCUGGGAACUGCAUUGGUGACUGGCAGGCUAGAGUAUGGCAGAGGGGGGUAGAAUUCCACGUGUAGCAGUGAAAUGCGUAGAGAUGUGGAGGAAUACCGAUGGCGAAGGCAGCCCCCUGGGCCAAUACUGACGCUCAUGCACGAAAGCGUGGGGAGCAAACAGGAUUAGAUACCCUGGUAGUCCACGCCCUAAACGAUGUCAACUAGUUGUUGGGGAUUCAUUUCCUUAGUAACGUAGCUAACGCGUGAAGUUGACCGCCUGGGGAGUACGGUCGCAAGAUUAAAACUCAAAGGAAUUGACGGGGACCCGCACAAGCGGUGGAUGAUGUGGAUUAAUUCGAUGCAACGCGAAAAACCUUACCUACCCUUGACAUGGUCGGAAUCCCGCUGAGAGGUGGGAGUGCUCGAAAGAGAACCGGCGCACAGGUGCUGCAUGGCUGUCGUCAGCUCGUGUCGUGAGAUGUUGGGUUAAGUCCCGCAACGAGCGCAACCCUUGUCCUUAGUUGCUACGCAAGAGCACUCUAAGGAGACUGCCGGUGACAAACCGGAGGAAGGUGGGGAUGACGUCAAGUCCUCAUGGCCCUUAUGGGUAGGGCUUCACACGUCAUACAAUGGUCGGAACAGAGGGUUGCCAACCCGCGAGGGGGAGCUAAUCCCAGAAAACCGAUCGUAGUCCGGAUUGCACUCUGCAACUCGAGUGCAUGAAGCUGGAAUCGCUAGUAAUCGCGGAUCACGCAUGCCGCGGUGAAUACGUUCCCGGGUCUUGUACUCACCG